GCCUGACUAGCUCACUUGGUAGAACAUGGGACUCUUAAUCCCAGGGUUGUGGAUUUGUGUCCCACAUUGGGUG
Molecule: transfer RNA, 73 nt
Filed under: Cricetulus griseus (Chinese hamster)
Lineage: Eukaryota; Metazoa; Chordata; Mammalia; Rodentia; Cricetidae
Rfam family: tRNA
About the family: Transfer RNA (tRNA) molecules are approximately 80 nucleotides in length.
Source: Rfam by way of RNAcentral